UGAUAAUAUAUUGAAGGGCUGCAGUAAUUUGACUGUACAAAGGUAGCAUAAUCAUUAGUCUUUUAAUUGAAGACUUGUAUGAAGGAUUUGAUAAAAUAUAAACUGUCUCUAAUUUAUAUUUAAAAUUUAAUUUUUUAGUUAAAAAGCUAAAAUAAAUUUAAAAGACGAGAAGACCCUAUAGAGUUUUAUAAUUUAUAAUUUAAAAUAUUUAUAUAAAAUUUUAAUAUAAUAAAUUUUAAAUUAUUUUGUUGGGGUGAUAAAAAAAUUUAUAAAACUUUUUUUUUUAGUUAACAUAAAUAAUUGAAUAUAUGAUCCUAAAUAAAGAUUAAAAGAAAAAAUUACCUUAGGGAUAACAGCGUAAUUUUUUUUUUUAGUACAAAUAAAAAAAAAAGUUUGCGACCUCGAUGUUGGAUUAAGAUAAAAUUUAAAUGCAAAAGUUAAAAUUU
Molecule: ribosomal RNA, 446 nt
Filed under: Zizeeria karsandra (dark grass blue)
Lineage: Eukaryota; Metazoa; Arthropoda; Insecta; Lepidoptera; Lycaenidae
Description: partial 16S ribosomal RNA
Source: RNAcentral